UGGGGAAUUUUGGACAAUGGGGGCAACCCUGAUCCAGCCAUCCCGCGUGUGCGAUGAAGGCCUUCGGGUUGUAAAGCACUUUUGGCAGGGAAGAAACAGCCUGGGCUAAUAUCCCGGGCGACUGACGGUACCUGCAGAAUAAGCACCGGCUAACUACGUGCCAGCAGCCGCGGUAAUACGUAGGGUGCAAGCGUUAAUCGGAAUUACUGGGCGUAAAGCGUGCGCAGGCGGUUCGGAAAGAAAGGUGUGAAAUCCCAGGGCUUAACCUUGGAACUGCACCUUUAACUACCGGGCUAGAGUACGUCAGAGGGGGGUAGAAUUCCACGGGUUGCAGUGAAAUGCGUAGAGAUGUGGAGGAAUACCGAUGGCGAAGGCAGCCCCCUGGGAUGAUACUGACGCUCAUGCACGAAAGCGUGG
RNAcentral lists this ribosomal RNA (417 nucleotides) under uncultured bacterium. RNAcentral's name for it is "bacterial SSU rRNA". It matches the Rfam family "Bacterial small subunit ribosomal RNA", at positions 355 to 764 of the family's 1533-position model. The record is from RNAcentral.